RNAcentral lists this ribosomal RNA (253 nucleotides) under uncultured bacterium. Its description in RNAcentral is "partial 16S ribosomal RNA". It matches the Rfam family "Bacterial small subunit ribosomal RNA", at positions 524 to 776 of the family's 1533-position model. The record is from RNAcentral.
UACAGAGGUCUCGAGCGUUGUUCGGACUCAUUGGGCGUAAAGGGUGCGUAGGUGGCGCGUUAAGUCAGGUGUGAAAUUUCGGAGCUUAACUCCGAAACUGCAUUUGAUACUGGCGUGCUUGAGGACUGGAGAGGAGACUGGAAUUCAUGGUGUAGCAGUGAAAUGCGUAGAGAUCAUGAGGAAGACCAGUGGCGAAGGCGGGUCUCUGGACAGUUCCUGACACUGAGGCACGAAGGCCAGGGGAGCAAACGGG